This 208-nucleotide long non-coding RNA is filed under the name Ananas comosus (pineapple). RNAcentral's name for it is "long non-coding RNA (ACOM_LNC041112)". Lineage: Eukaryota; Viridiplantae; Streptophyta; Magnoliopsida; Poales; Bromeliaceae. The record is from RNAcentral.
UUGUUUGUUUGAUUUGGUGUUCUUCUUUGAUUAUUUUAUUUUUUAAUCCAUUAUGUUUUGAAAUAUAAUGAAGAAAAACAAUUGCUAUGGAAUUGAAUUUUCGGGUUUGAAUUCGGAUUCAGAUUUUGAUUUGUAGCUGAAUUCCGAUUUGGAUAUGGAUUUUUAAAAUUCGUCGAAUUCCUGUUCUGGUUUCAGAUUUGUAGGGGGU